Molecule: unclassified non-coding RNA, 624 nt
Filed under: Hevea brasiliensis (rubber tree)
Lineage: Eukaryota; Viridiplantae; Streptophyta; Magnoliopsida; Malpighiales; Euphorbiaceae
Source: RNAcentral
GUUGCAUCUUCAACUUCUCACGCUGUCCAAAGUAAAAGAAAAUGAGUGCCUUAAUUUUAAGGUAAUAAAAAGCGCCUGCCAAUGGAAGUUGGAGAAAGUAUCUAACGUUGUGGAGCUCAUAAACUGGUAUUAAGAAAGAUUUCUCAGUAACAUGUAUAUAAUGUAAGCAUGUAUGUGUAUAUGUAUCAUAUUCAGAUGUUAUAAUAUAAUUUAGCUAGGCCAGAUUUAAUUUGGAUAAAAGAAUCUGUCACAAGUGUAGCUUAUAUUCAACGGAAACAAUGGAGUCAAAAGGGAGCCAAAAGCUUUAUAUAAAUUGAAGAUGGGUUGCACAACUGAACAGCUUAUGCAGCAUAAAGCAUAGUAAGCUGUUGGAAAAAUUAUUUUCUAAGAUGAGAGCAAAGGCGUUGCAUUGCUUGGGCGUUUGGACCACAGUACAUUUUUUCUUCUUUACAUUUUUUUCUUCCCUUCUUUCUCAUACAAGAGAAGAGUACUAGGGGGGCUCAAAACCAGAUCUCUACACAAAAUUCCACCUCUAAAAACCAUAAAGCUAGGCCCAGGUCAGGUGGCCAGCACUCAUUAUUAAUUGGGAAUUACUCGGUUUAUGAAAAAAGAAAAAUGCAAGCG